CCACCCGCCUCAGUCUCCCAGAGUGCUAGGAUUACAGGUGUGAGCCACCAUGCCUGGCCCUGAGGCUCUUAAAGUGACCUAGCAGAGGCCAUAUGGGCAGCUAGGAAGUUGCAGGGCUGGGAUUUGUACCUAAGCCUGUGAGAGAGACUCCAAGCUCCUCUCUUUCCACUUUGCCACCACAUGGGAAAACACACCCUCCACCCUUACCCUUACUGAACAUCUGUGCUGUGCAGACCACUUUGACAUCUGUCUCUCACUGUACUGUCCACAGGCCUUAGAGGGUCUGUGUGUUGAGAUUGGCUGAGCAGUCUGACCGGUAGCAAUGCCCUUCUCCACGGAGUCCAUAAAAAGUGCAUUCCGGGUUGGGUGGGGUGAUAGGUCAAGCUAAUCCAUCCUGGGAGAUGGGAAACUGGUUAGAAGGCUUUUAUCAUCCAGGCAAGAAGAGAUGGGGCCAGAGGGAAGGCGGUGGGAGCAGAGUGGACAGCGGUGGGCAGCUCCUGGAGAUGACAGGAUGAGUCACCAGCUAGCGUGUUCAGUAGGUGCUGGAGUUGUUCCUUAGAGGAUGUAUUCUGGGAAAACUUCUUGAAGGGGCUGGUGGGGUCUAAUCUGGCUUCCGAGGGAGAGACGGGUCAUUUCAGACUGUGGGGACAGGAAGGGUAAAGGUGUGGAGGUUGAAAGGCCCUGUAACCAGCUGUGGGGACCCGGGAAGAUGUGAUGAGGUCCCGCCUUCAAGGAGCUCUCUGUGUGUUUGGGACCAGAGGCCCGUGGUUGCUCAAGCGGCGUGACACCAACACCAGCUCGCCCGCGGAGCCGAGUGGACUUGAGUGUCCGCGCUCAGGAGAGGCUGCCCGGGAUGGACGGGGGAGGCAGAUGGGGAGGACCUGCCUGAGCAGGGAGCAUUGGUCAUUCGCGCGUGCAUCUGUCCAGACCCGCUGCGCUAAGCGCUGUGGCGCAGGAGAGCGGGGGAGAGAGGGAGGAGAAGGACAGAGGGACCCUGCGGGACACGCGGCUCCCCGAGGAGCGACUCCCCGAGGAGCGGCAGGUGGAAGGAACGCAGUGGUCAGGCUCUCCCGAGCUGCAAGAGCCGGAACUCUGCCCCAGACGGGCUCACUGGUCCUCAGACUGGUUGUCAGGACCUGGCUUCUCUGUGUGGCUCUCGGCCCUGCUUUCCCUGUUAGCCUCCCUCCAGCCACGGCCCGCCGAGGGCAGGACCAGCCCACCAGCCGGCAACCGCGGCAGCACAGGCUUUUCAACCCCACGACACCAGAAAAUUCUUACAGUUGGCUCUGAUUGGCUAGGCGUGAUCACAUGUUCAUCCCUGAACCAAUCACAGUGUAUUCCUGAGGCAUGGAAUACACUGGUUGGUCAGGCCUACGUCACGUGGUUACCUGCGGCUUUCGGGGGUGGGAUCCGACCACUCUCUCCUGAGGGUCCCCAAAAGCCGCCUGGUCGCUGUCCCGAAGUCCACUUGAGGAGCAGAGGCCACCCUCCGUGGGACGGGAGCGGAGGGAGCUGGGGCUGACGUGUCGAGGGUGGCAGGAGGUGGACCUGUGCCGAGGACUGGGCCCGAGGGAGGAGCGUCUUCGGGCCGGGAGUGCGGGCCUGCCCUCCCACGCCGGGCGCACCUAUGGCCUGCGUCCUCCCGGCUGGCCGGGCUCUUGCGCUCCAGGCGGGCUCGGGGCUUGCGUGCAGGCCGCGUGCGGCUGGGCGCCGGCUGGCUAGGAGGCAGACAGGCUGGUUCCGGAAAUGAAAGAAUCAGGUAAUGCCGUCUUGGGUCACUUCAAAGCCAGCUACAGCCAGGAACAGGAAUACUUUGCAAAGGGUAGAACUUCAUACAUGAGUGAUGCCAUCAACUUUAGUCUUAUCCCUUUCUAUCCUUGGAGCCUUCUGAACACCCUGUGAGUUGCGGUGAGGUGACUGUCCACCCCUCAUCUGUGCCACCAUUGCAGCUGGCAGCCUCGUGCUAGGACUAGCACCUCUCCCCGCUAGGGGAGUCGCUGUGAGUUUUGUGGACUGGCUGCCCCUCUCAAGGUGGCUGCUCCCUCAGCCCAAGGAUCCCCUCACCUCCUCGGCCUUCCGAGGCGAAGCUUGGCGCUGCACCACUCCCGGCGCUGGCCGCCGAGCCAUUAGCCUCGCUUCUCACUGGCUGCGCCUCAGCACAGUAAUCAUUUUCAGAUUUACAAGCAUUAAAUAUUUUAAUUUAAUGCCUUGGCUCUCUUGUAAUUCAUGCACUUAAUUAUAUGAUAAUUACUCAAAUGAAAGAGAUACAGCUGCUGCUGUAUCAAUUCUAAGGGAAGACCAGAUUUUUGAGUUGAACUGAUUUCGGGAGGUGCCCCUGCCCCUUACCUUCCCCCUCCCCCAUACCCUGCCCCUUUUCUUUGGGCCAUAUAGUCUAUAACGCCCCUCCUCCCUGAGCAGUGCUGGAUUGGGCUGGGCGUCUGGGCAUUCUGCAGCCAUCUGCCCCUGGAACAGGGUAUGGGUCCUGCCCGGCUAGGGGACCGGACUCCUGUGGCUGCUGCUCCAAGAACAGAGACAUCUAAUGGCCGUUGAGCAGGAUAGGAGGGCCGUUGGCCCUCCUUGGGUGGUAGAAGAGGAAGGAUCCUCUCGGGGAGCAGAGGAGGCUGUUUGGGGGCCCCUGUAGCAGGUGGUGAAGCCAGGAAGCCUGUUCCUCCUCUGGUGGUGGAUGCGGGUGUGGGGGGAGUUGAGUUGACGUUCCUCUGCGUAUCUCCACUGCAGGUGGAGCUAGAACAGGCCUCCUGGCAACAACCACCAUGGGGGUUCGCGAAGACAGAUUGGGGUGGGGGAGGGAUGGAACUUCGUGAUGGGAGCACCUUCCUCGUUCUGUCACUUUCCCCUGCCCCAGCUUUCUCCUCUCCUCACCCCUUCCCUCUCUCCAUCUCUCCUUACCUUUUUCUUUUCCUACUUUUCCCCCUUUUUUCUCAUUCCCAGUUGACAUCCUAAACUAUGUUUAAUGCCUGAAAGGUCCUGGCUGUUGUGCAAGGGCUGCGACUGUUACUAUUUGGCAGGUGUGUCAGCCCUCUCACUGCCCUCUUCCUGCCCGCCACUUUGGGGCUGAUGUUCUGAGUGGACCCAUAGUGACCCUGUGCAGCUGAUGGCACCAGCAGAUUUGAGAAUCAGGGGGUGUUGCCUUGGGCCAGGCCCUCCUUGGUUCUGGGGAUGGGUGACACUUAGGCGGGCCUCCGGCAGCCUGGGCCUGCUGCUUUGGGGAGAAAAGCCCCCGCCUCUCAUGAAGACUCAAAGAGAAGCAUCAGAGCCCCCCUGGGGCAAAGCCCUGCUUAGGUGGCCCGAGGUGCUCUGGCCUCAGCUUGUGGAGAAGCACUGUGGCUUCCCUUGGGGCAAGAAGUUGAGUUAGGAGGUUGAAAUUUCCAAGCCAAUAAUGUUUUGAGGCUUCUGAGUUUCCUGGUUUUUUGGGCAGGGAAGCUCUGGGUGCAAGGGAAGCCCUGGGCCACUCUGGGCCGGCUCGUUUCCAAGGCAAAAUGUGGGUGAGCUGGGCAGCUCGUCCCUGCCGAAGUGCACGUCUGCACUGAAAGGGGUUACAAACGGCUCGCCCCGUAUGCAGACAAUUUUCAGCUAGCUUACAGCAGCUGCGGCGCCGUGCUGCUAGAUUAAAAGCAGCAACCAGCCCCAGAAUGAAGUGUAUUAGAAUCCCUGCCGGGUCGAGCUGGGGAGAGGCCCACACAGCUGUCAUCUAGGCCAAGUUUCCAACCGAAACCUCAAGAACAGGAUGGAACUCUGAGAAAAGUUAGCUUUCUAAAUGAGGUGGCCGCUGUUAAUCAGGAGAGGGGGGAGAGGGACUAGUGGCAUGCCAGGGCUUUAGAGAUGAGGAGGAGGAGUUUGGUGGGGCGUCCCACACAGACCAGGAACUUGGUGCAGGACCCUGACUCGCAGCGCCCGGGAACAAAGAGGCUGCUGCAGGCGGGGACCCCACGGCUGGGCAUGCGCCCCCCUACAUCCUCCACCCCCCAUGCCUUGCUCCUGACAGCUGCCUUGGGAGAUGGGUGUUUCAAUGUCACUUCCAGAGGGUCCCAAGAGCUCAUUGCCACCACAUCACACCCAGGCCUCCUUGGCUAAAAUGGAGGGGUGGCUCUCGGAUUCAGGCAGCUGCACAGAUCUACCUUUGCCCAGGAAAAUUUUGCUGUCAGAGCAAACUGCCACCAGCCAGCCUUAGUUUUUUCCUGGCUGCAGCGUGGAGGCCUUUCUGUUUUGGCUUUGAGGUCUUUAAGGGAUGUCUGCUCCUCUUGUGAUGAGAAGGGCUCUUGGCAGGGGUCUGGCUCUUGCCCCCGAGUCUGACUCAAGGCUAGCAAGGAGAUACUUUUGUCACAGAUGCCGUUUGAGAGCCUAUCUAGAACACCCCCAUUAGAAAAAUCAGAAUGCCAAGGGAGAGAUCUGGAUAUAUUCUUUGUAAAAAUUUUUUUGCAUAUGUCCUUAUUUUUGCAUAAAGCAAAAUGCUUCCCACUGGAAGGGCCAGGUGAAACAAGAAAUAAAUAAAUCCAACUAAACUACCGUUAUAAAUAUAACUAGUACAGCAUCCGGCCAUAAUUCCACUGUAGUGGUAUAUCUUUAGUGAAUCCGUCCACUGGGCAGUUGGUCAUGUCCUCACUUGGACAGGCCAUCGGUCACGUGUGUGGGAGCUGUGUAGUAUGAAGCACACUUGGUUAUUGAGGAAACACAGCCCCGGGUGAAGAGUUUGCCGUUACCAUGCAUCAGCUGGGGCUGUCUUAUGUUGGAAGAGGCCUGGUUUGCAUAGCUGCUGGGCAUGCCCUCUGCCCGUCAGACGGUGAGAAGUGAGCUCGGCCCAUUGGCGGCUUGAUCAGGCCCACAGCAGAUGUGGAAUGGUGGUGUCUUUGCUGAUGUGCAGUCAGGUUUCAGGUGUUUUCUUGGAUUCCCGAGCUGGCCAUGGCAGUGGGUUGGGUGUGUUCCAGUGCUAGGCUCAGGUAGGUGGCAAGGCAAGGGUGCAGGCGGGUGCCAUUGGCCUGGUCCAGGGGUGUGUUUAGGAGAGGGGCAGACAGGUCUAGAGGCCAAGGACGCAGCUCUGGGAGGUAGACUGCCUUGCUUGAGUCCAGCUCUGUCCUUUGUUUACUACACGACCUUGGACAGCUGUUUAACCUCACUGUGCCCACUUUCUUCAUCUGUAAAGCGAGGGUGAUGAUAGCACCUCUCUCAGAGGGAUGUGAGGAAGAUUAAAUGAGACAACAUGUGUCUUAGUCCUUUUGUGCUGCUGUAAAAGAAAACCUGGGGCUGGAUAAUUUAUAAAGAAAAGAGGUUUAUUUGACUCACGGUUCUUUAGGCUAUGCAAGAAGCAUGCACUUGCAUCUGGGGAGGGCCACAGGCUGCCCCCACUCAUGGCAGAAGGGCAGCAGGCAUGUGCAGAGAGCACGUGGUGAGAGGAAAUAGCAUGUGAAAUACGUGGGUAUUGUAAGUACCCAUUGUAAGUACCUAAUGAAAGUUAGCAAUUUGAUCAAAUUCUUCAUUAGUCUAGAAUAGUUUGACAGUAAUCCUAAAGCCUCAAGUCAUCUAGUCUGACCCUAGAAUCCAUUCACAUGUCUUUUCCACAAAUGCUUACCUUUCCUUGAACGCCUCCCAUGGUGGGAAACUCACCCUAAGGGUGCCAUUACAGUCAAUCAUAGACAGCGUUUUUGGAUCUAGUUUCUAAAGUCUGUACUUUUUUGGUGGCUCUCACCUGACUUCUCUUCAGUGCAGAGUCCCAAGAACAGUCAGUAGCUGCCACCCAACAGGUGCUUCCCGGGCCAGGCACUACACUAAGCACUUUAUGUACAUUUUCUCAUUCAUCCUCCCAAGUCUUACGGGACAAGUGUGAUUUUUACCUCCAUUUUACAGAUGAGGAAACAGGGUCAGAGAGUUGACUUGUUUAAGGGUCACAGAGAUACAGGUGUGCUGGCUGAGACUGAGAUCCGUCUGAGGUCAUGACCCAUGUUCCUAAAUAUUACCCUUUCUAAGGAAGCUCAGAACCAAACAAACAAGUUUUUGGUCUUUUUCCUUGCUUUCCCCCUCCCAAUUCCAGUCAGCCCACUCUCCCAUCAUGGUUUCUUCCCAUUGAUGUUUUACUUGCGUGACUUGGGGAGAAUGUAUAAAGACAUCACCUUUAGCAAGAGGUUACAUAUCUAGUUUCUCACAGCACCAUUAAACUAGGAGGAUAAAUUCUGUCUGCAGGAGACAGAAACCGCUCACCAAUGUUGUAUAGUUUCCUAAAUUAAUAAAAGUAAUAAUCUGAUAAACUGGUUAUUGUAAUUUAUCCCCAUAAAGCAGAACACGUGCCUGAAUUGUCAUUUCGGCCUCAAACCCAGCAGAAAAUAGUCAGCAAUUACCAGAGGCUCAGUGAGCAGGGCUGCUGCAAUCCUGCGGUCUUCAAAUUAGGAAAAAUAAUGAAUGCAUCCAGACUCAUCCAUCUUCAGCAAGUGCUGCGUGGAUUAUAAAAUUUAUUGUCAAUAAAAUUAUUCAUUUGUGCCCUAUACUGCACUUAAUGCGCCUGAAGUGAGAAAUUAGAAGUGUGUUUAAUUCUGGAGCUGGAAGAAAAUACAAGUGCAGCGAAUUUGCAGUAAUAGGAGAAAGUUAAUGCCCGGCCAAAAAUGAAUCAAUUUAGCUUUUGCUUUUAUGUUUUGGAAAAGCAGGUUGGUUUUUCCUUUUUAUGAUAAAAGCAUAUAAAUUCACUUAGAUCCCUAGUUCUAGUACUGCUUUCAAAGAAUAUUUAAAGAGAAGUUAUGAAUUAGGAGGAACAUAUAAAUGUGAAUAGUGUGUGCAUGUAAUUUCUACAUAUAUACAUUUAUAUGUGUAUAUAUCUAUAUAUUCCUCUAUAUAUCUGUGGAUAUGCAUGCAGAGUGAUGUAGUAAACAUAGUAGUGGUAUAGUGAUAUAGUUGGUAAAUAUUUAACAAUUUGCUAUAUGAGAAGAAAAAAAGAAUUCUGACUUGUAGCAUUUGCCAAUUUCUGUGGUGUAAAUACUUCCACCAUGGCUGAUUUCAGGCUACUGGUAUGAUUUCACUGAACCUGGAGUUGGGAGGAGAAGCCCACGAUUGGCUCUCAGAAGUCAGUAUGAGCUGGCUCCAGCACACCACUGUUCUAUAUGUGCACAUGUAUAUGUGCAUGUAGACACAUUCAUGUUAUAUCCAUGGCUUAAGGAAAGACAGAAAGAAAAGAUAUAAUUGAUAAGCAUCAAUUUUAUCAUCAGUUUGAGCCUGAGCGUCAUCCCUGUGUUUUUGCCGAAUGGCAACCUCCUUUGGUGAAUUUGCAUGUGUAUUUUAUUCAAGUAAAGAGCAGCUUUCUCCCCCAGAAAUAAGGUGACUUUAUUUUCAUUAAAUUCCAUGUGUGAAGGAAAAAAGAACAGAAGAAAAGAGAAGGUAAAGAGGGAGGGAGCAGUCUGGGCUCGGCCCUGCGUCAGCAACGCCGGCCUGUCUUUGGCGGACUCGGUGGACACGCCUGGUUUUAUCCAGCCAUUGUUCUUUUUGCGCCGAGUUUGCACACCGGCGUGUCUGGGAAUUGCGCAGCUGGAGCACACAUGAAAGAGCUGCGUUCCACUCUCAUGGGUCCCUGGGCGGCCGGGACGGCCUCAAGGCCCCGCGGUGGAGCCGCGCGUUCGUGUUCCUUCCCAGCACUGCGCGCCCGCCGAGCCCGCCCAGUCGCAGACUUGACAGUGAGCCUUUUGAUUUUGCGGGGAAGCCUUCGUCACGCUGUGGGAGGGAGGGAAUAUAGCCCAAACUGGACUUCAUACUGUGGCAAGCUUGAAAUCCCAGCCCCACCGCAGAGCCGGCUGAUUGGAAUAGUUGGAAACUGUGUCCAGGAAUUCGGCUUCGAGAACUUGGCUCACAGCAACUUCUGCCUUUUUGAAAGAAAAAUUGUCAACUGGGAGAGCCACUUGAGGCCUGGCUCUAAUCUAUCCAUGCAGGAAAGAUUCAUGGAAACUACUGGCCAAGUUUCUCUUCCUGCGUACGUGUGGCUCCAGUGGCAGGGAGAAGCAGGCUUGCUGGCUCCGGGUGACAGCUGUCGUCACUGCCACACUCAUGGCAUUGUCACCGGCUUCCACGGUAUUGCUAUUUUGUUAAUCACCAACCUGCUGCUUGUGAGAUAGCAGAGUCAGAGGUGCAAACAAAGCCAUACAGAGCAUAUGCUCUGCUUGGUACCCUGGUCUCUGGCUUCUGGGACAGCAGGGCCAUUUUCUGGGUGUGUCUUUCACCCUGGCAAAGUCACCAUGAUGACAUUAGGUAGCCAAAGGCCAAAGAGAGGCUAACGUUGAAAUCAUGAAUGUACCCUUGGUAAAUCUGCAAGCAGUGGUGCUGUUUCUACCCCUCUUGGGAGGAUGUCCAUGGGCUUGCUUAACUGGGAUAUGCCUUGAUUUCACUCAUUUUUGUUUGAAAAUGUUAGUGAAUGAGGGUCCCUCCUGUGAAAUGCCCAUGAAAUUCAAGAUCUUGGUGCCAUUGCCCAGAGACGUCCUGGUGAUUCUAAUAUGACAGCGCACCACGGUUCAAAUGCACAAAACAAGAGGCUUGUUGACAAAGGUCAACAGAGCUGGGAGUCAUGAGUAGACCAUCCAUAGGAAAACACGUCAUCAUCAACUCUUUUUCCUUGGCAAGGAUGUUCAGUCCUAGCCUUUUCAGUGGGGGAAGAUGCAUGCUCUUGGGCAGAUACAAGUCAGUGCUGUUGAGCUAGGACUGGGUCCAGCCGCUCAUUCUGGAGCCGGGAGAGGCCUGGAGCAGUUUCUUUGGGAUUAGACUGAGCUGGGGAGGAUGUUCCCUGGGGCCUCCUGGAAAGAUUAGGGGACUCUCCAGCCACUGACCCAGGCCGCUGCUCGAGCCCACCAUACCUCAUUACCAGGGAAGGCUUUCUUCUCUUUUCCCUUUGUAUUUCCCAUGCUCCCCUCUGUCCCCUGACACUGCCCCUGCAGCCCCUCUCCAUUGCAACCUAGUUUUCUCAGGUGACCUGACACAGAGCGUGGCCAUUUAUGCUGAGCAGGGAAGAAAGCAGGAAGUAGAAAUAGCCCAUGGCUUGAGCCCUGGCUUUGUGUCUUUGUGUGGCAAGGCCACAGAUAAGUCAGUAGGCCUCUCUGGGCCUCAGUUUCCCUAUCUGUGAGAUAGAAUGCACUCCCCACCCCAAACAUGCACUUGCAUUUCAGAGUGAUGCUUAGGAGGUAUGGGGCCCAGGGGGUGAUGAGAAAGAGGAAGUGGCAGUUAGACUUCCAGAAUCAUACAGGGCAACUGAC
Molecule: non-coding RNA, 9230 nt
Organism: Microcebus murinus (gray mouse lemur)
Lineage: Eukaryota; Metazoa; Chordata; Mammalia; Primates; Cheirogaleidae
Source: RefSeq, a predicted model, not a curated record